GACGAACGCUGGCGGCGUGCUUAACACAUGCAAGUCGAACGGAAAGGCCCUGCUUUUGUGGGGUGCUCGAGUGGCGAACGGGUGAGUAACACGUGAGUAACCUGCCCUUGACUUUGGGAUAACUUCAGGAAACUGGGGCUAAUACCGGAUAGGAGCUCCUGCUGCAUGGUGGGGGUUGGAGAGUUUCGGCGGUUGGGGAUGGACUCGCGGCUUAUCAGCUUGUUGGUGGGGUAGUGGCUUACCAAGGCUUUGACGGGUAGCCGGCCUGAGAGGGUGACCGGCCACAUUGGGACUGAGAUACGGCCCCGACUCCUACGGGAGGCAGGAGUGGGGAAUAUUGCACCAUGGGCGGAAGCCUUAUGCAGCCACGCCGCGUGCGGGAUGACGGCCUUCGGGUUGUAAACCGCUUUCGCCUGUGACGAAGCGGGAGUGACGGUAAAGGGUAAAGAAGCACCGGCUAACUACGUG
Molecule: ribosomal RNA, 468 nt
Filed under: uncultured bacterium
Lineage: Bacteria
Description: partial 16S ribosomal RNA
Rfam family: Bacterial small subunit ribosomal RNA
Source: RNAcentral